This 252-nucleotide ribosomal RNA is filed under the name uncultured bacterium. RNAcentral describes it as "partial 16S ribosomal RNA". It matches the Rfam family "Bacterial small subunit ribosomal RNA", at positions 524 to 776 of the family's 1533-position model. The record is from RNAcentral.
UACGGAGGUUGCGAGCGUUAUCCGGAUUUAUUGGGUUUAAAGGGUGCGUAGGCGGACUGUCAAGUCAGCGGUAAAAUUGAGAGGCUCAACCUCUUCCCGCCGUUGAAACUGGUGGUCUUGAGUGGAUGAGAAGUACGCGGAAUGCGUGGUGUAGCGGUGAAAUGCAUAGAUAUCACGCAGAACUCCGAUUGCGAAGGCAGCGUACCGGCAUCCAACUGACGCUGAGGCACGAAAGCGUGGGGAUCAAACAGG